GUGCUGGCCAUCGGCAUGUGCACGUCCCCUCGCCUUUUUCUGUCUAUAUACACCUGUGCACCUAUUGUAGAUCCCCUCGAAAGAGAGGGAACUAUGUUUUCAUCACAUCACAUACAAAGAAUGUCUAGAAUGUAAAUGUAAAUGUGAUCCUAUCAUUCUGUGAUCGGUCACAAACAUACAUAUAAAUAUAAAUAUAUACAACUUUCAGCAACGGAUCUCUUGGCUCUCGCAUCGAUGAAGAACGCAGCGAAUUGCGAUAAGUAAUGUGAAUUGCAGAUUUCCAGUGAAUCAUCGAAUCUUUGAACGCACCUUGCGCUCCUUGGUAUUCCGAGGAGCAUGCCUGUUUGAGUGUCAUCGAAUUCUCAACCAUGAUCUCUUUUUCGAAAGAGAUGGUGGCUUGGAGUUGGGAGUUGCUGGCCAGACCGUCAGCUCUCCUUAAACGGAUUAGCGAUCGAGUUGGCUAGUCUUUGACGUACACGGCCUCGGACGUGAUAAUGAUCGUCCUGGCUGGAGCGUCCUUUUUUCUAGACUAUGCACAUAGAUGGCUUCUAAUAAAAACGAAUGGAAAACAAGGAAUCCGUCUAGCAAGCUUA
Molecule: ribosomal RNA, 593 nt
Filed under: uncultured fungus
Lineage: Eukaryota; Fungi
Description: eukaryotic LSU rRNA
Rfam family: 5.8S ribosomal RNA (bases 200-354)
Source: RNAcentral